GACGAACGCUGGCGGCGUGCCUAAUACAUGCAAUUAGCACUCAGUUGCGACCUGGUGCGUAACGCGUAGGUACCUGCCUCCUCGCGGGGGCUCACUAUUGGCAACGAUAGCUAAUACCGCAUACUGUGAGCUGGACCUGAGUUGUAUUAGCUAGUUGGUGAGUUAAAUGCUCACCAAGUCGACGAUACAUAGCCGACCUGAGAGUGUGAUCGGACAAACUGAGAGUGAGACACGGCCAAGACUCAUACGGGAGGAAGCAGUAGGGAAUCGGCGGAAAUGGACGGAAGUAUGACCGAGCAACGCAGCGUGAGUGAAGAAGGUGUUCGGAUCGUAAAGCUCGGUUGUUAGAGAAGCGGUAACUAACCAGAAAGGGACGGCUAACUACGUGCCAGCAGCCGCGGUAAUUC
This 407-nucleotide ribosomal RNA is filed under the name uncultured bacterium. RNAcentral's name for it is "partial 16S ribosomal RNA". It matches the Rfam family "Bacterial small subunit ribosomal RNA", at positions 28 to 526 of the family's 1533-position model. The record is from RNAcentral.